This 253-nucleotide ribosomal RNA is filed under the name uncultured bacterium. RNAcentral's name for it is "partial 16S ribosomal RNA". It matches the Rfam family "Bacterial small subunit ribosomal RNA", at positions 524 to 776 of the family's 1533-position model. The record is from RNAcentral.
UACGUAGGGUGCAAGCGUUGUCCGGAAUUAUUGGGCGUAAAGAGCUUGUAGGCGGUUUGUCGCGUCUGCUGUGAAAUUUCGGGGCUCAACCCCGAACUUGCGGUGGGUACGGGCAGACUAGAGUGUGGUAGGGGAGACUGGAAUUCCUGGUGUAGCGGUGAAAUGCGCAGAUAUCAGGAGGAACACCGAUGGCGAAGGCAGGUCUCUGGGCAUUAACUGACGCUGAGGAGCGAAAGCAUGGGGAGCGAACAGG